This 468-nucleotide ribosomal RNA is filed under the name uncultured bacterium. RNAcentral's name for it is "partial 16S ribosomal RNA". It matches the Rfam family "Bacterial small subunit ribosomal RNA", at positions 28 to 507 of the family's 1533-position model. The record is from RNAcentral.
GAUGAACGCUGGCGGCGUGCUUAACACAUGCAAGUCGAACGGUGAAGGCGGAGCUUGCUCUGCUGGAUCAGUGGCGAACGGGUGAGUAACACGUGAGCAAUCUGCCCCUGACUCUGGGAUAAGCGCUGGAAACGGCGUCUAAUACUGGAUACGAGCUGCGAAGGCAUCUUCAGCAGCUGGAAAGGAUUUCGGUCAGGGAUGAGCUCGCGGCCUAUCAGCUUGUUGGUGAGGUAAUGGCUCACCAAGGCGUCGACGGGUAGCCGGCCUGAGAGGGUGACCGGCCACACUGGGACUGAGACACGGCCCAGACUCCUACGGGAGGCAGCAGUGGGGAAUAUUGCACAAUGGGCGAAAGCCUGAUGCAGCAACGCCGCGUGAGGGACGACGGCCUUCGGGUUGUAAACCUCUUUUAGCAGGGAAGAAGCGAAAGUGACGGUACCUGCAGAAAAAGCGCCGGCUAACUACGUG